Non-coding RNA from Prunus avium (sweet cherry), 1871 nucleotides. NCBI's taxonomy places the organism in Eukaryota, Viridiplantae, Streptophyta, Magnoliopsida, Rosales, Rosaceae. The record is from RefSeq and is a predicted model, not a curated record.
GACCACCUGCCCGACAUGUCUACGCAGGUGGUUGACCAGUUUCCCCUUUCCUCUGUUACGUUCCGAUGUUAGCAGGUAGUUGUGUUUAAUGUAGAGCUGUCUGACGACGAUUUUCCAACCCACCUGCCCGAUUUGUGUACACAGGUGGUUGGCCAGUUUCCCUGUUCCUAGUUGCCUUUAGAUGUAUGCAUGUACAUGUGCUAGGUAGAUAGUUCUUCGACCAAGAUUUUGUCAGCCACCUGCCCGACAUGUCUACACAGGUGGUUGACCAGUUUCCCUGUUCCUAGUUGCCUUUGGAUGUUUGCGUGUCCAUGUGUUUUGUAGAUAGUUUUUCGACCAAGACUUCGUCGACCACCUGCCCGACAUGUCUACACAGGUGGUUGGCUAGUUUCUCCCAUCCUCCGUUUCCUUUCGAUGUUUGCAGGUAGUUGCAUUUAAUGUAGAGCUGUCUGACGACGAUUUUCCAACCCACCUGCCCGAUUUGUCUACACAGGUGGUUGGCUAGUUUCCCUGUUCCUGGUUGCCUUUAGAUGUAUGCGUGUACAUGUGCUGGGUAGAUAGUUCUUCGAUCAAGAUUUGGUCAGCCACCUACUCGACAUGUCUACAUAGGUGGUUGACCAGUUUCCCUGUUCCUAAUUGCCUUUUGAUGUUUGAAUGCAAAUGUGCUUGGUAGAUAGUUUUUCGACCAAGACUUCGUCGACCACCUGCCCGACAUGUCUACACAGGUGGUUGGCUAGUUUCCCCCAUCCUCUGUUUCCUUCCAAUGUUUGCAGGUAGUUGUGUUUAUUGUAGAGCUGUCUGACGACGAUUUUUCAACCCUCCUACCCGAUUUGUGUACACAAGUGGUUGACCAGUUUCCCUGUUCCUAGUUACCUUUAGAUGUAUGCAUGUACAUGUGCUAGGUAGAUAGUUCUUCGACCAAGAUUUCGUCAGCCACCUCCCCGACAUGUCUACACAGGUGAUUGACCAGUUUCCCUGUUCCUAGUUGCCUUUGGAUGUUUGCAUGUACAUGUGUUUGGUAGAUAGUUUUUUGACCAAGACUUCGUCGACCACCUGCCCGACAUGUCUACACAGGUGGUUGGCUAGUUUCCCCCAUCCUCUGUUUCCUUUUGAUGUUUGCAGGUAGUUGUAUUUAAUGUAGAGCUGUCUGACGACGAUUUUCCAACCCACAUACCCGAUUUGUCUACACAGGUGGUUGGCCAGUUUCCCUGUUCCUACUUGCCUUUAGAUGUAUGCAUGUACAUGUGGUAGGUAGAUAGUUCUUCGACCAAGUUUUCAUCAGCCACCUGCCCGACAUGUCUACACAGGUGGUUGACUAGUUUCCCUGUUCCUAGUUGCCUUUGGAUGUUUGUAUGUACAUGUGCUUUGUAGAUAGUUCUUCGACCAAGAUUUCGUCCGCCACUUGCCCGACAUGUCUGCACAUGUGGUUAGCCAGUUUCUCCCAUCCUCUUUUAACUUCCGAUGUUUGCAUGUAGUUGUGCUUAAUGUAGAGCCAUCAGACGAGGUUUUCGCUGACGACCUGCCCAAUUUGUCUACACAUGUGGUUUGCCAGUUUUCCUGUUCCUAGUUGCCUUUAAAAGUUCGCAUGUACAUGUGCUUAGUAGAUAGUUCUUCGACCAAGAUUUCGUCAGCCACCUGCCCGACAUGUCUAUAUAGGUGGUUGACCAGUUUCCCCUUUCCAAUGUUACCUUCCGAUGUUUGCAGGUAGUUGUGUUUGAUGUAGAGUUGUCUGACGAGGAAUUCCCUUCCCCCCUGCCCUAUUUGUCUGCACAGGUGGUUGGCAAGUUUCCCUAUUCCUAGUUGCCUUUAGAUGUUUGCAUGCACAUGUGCUUAGUAGAUAGUUCUUCGAUCAAGAUUUCGUCACCCACCUG